GUGGAGUAUUUUAGUGGUAGUGGUUAAUGUAGUAUAGUGGAGUAUUUUAGUGUAGUGUUAAUGUAGUAUAGUGGAGUAUUUAGUGUAGUGUAGUGUUAAUGUAGUAUAGUGGAGUAUUUUAGUGUAGUGUUAAUGUAGUAUAGUGGAGUAUUUUAGUGUAGUGUUAAUGUAGUAUAGUGGAGUAUUUUAGUGUAGUGUUAAUGUAGUAUAGUGGAGUAUUUUAGUGUAUUGUAGUUGUAAUGUAGUAUAGUGGAGUAUUUUAGUGUAUUAUAGUGUAGUGUUAAUGUAGUAUAGUGGAGUAUUGUAGUGUAUGUAGUGGUUAAUGUAGUAUAGUGGAGUAUUUUAGUGUAGUGUAGUGUUAAUGUAAUGUAGUAGGUGGAGUAUUUUAGUGUAGUGUUAAUGUAGUAUAGUGGAGUAUUUUAGUGUAUGUUAAUGUAGUAUGUGGAGUAUUUUAGUGUAGUGUUAAUGUAGUAUAGUGGAGUAUUUUAGUGUAGUGUUAAUGUAGUAUAGUGGAGUAUUUUAGUGUAGUGUUAAUGUAGUAUAGUGGAGUAUUUUUAGUGUAGUGUUACUGUAGUAUAGUGGCGUAUUUUAGUGUAGUGUUAAUGUAGUAUAGUGGAGUAUUUUAGUGUCGUGUUAAUGUAGUCUAGUGGAGUCUUUUAGUGUAGUGUUAAUGUAGUAUAGUGGAGUAUUUUAGUGUAGUGUUAAUGUAGUAUAGUGGAGUAUUUUAGUGUAGUGUAGUGUUAAUGUAGUAUAGUGGAGUAUUUAGUUGUAGUGUAGUGUUAAUGUAGUAUAGUGGAGUAUUUUAGUGUAGUGUUAAUGUAGUAUAGUG
Long non-coding RNA from Ictalurus punctatus (channel catfish), 829 nucleotides. Lineage: Eukaryota; Metazoa; Chordata; Actinopteri; Siluriformes; Ictaluridae. The record is from Ensembl.